Molecule: unclassified non-coding RNA, 412 nt
Filed under: Bluetongue virus
Lineage: Riboviria; Orthornavirae; Duplornaviricota; Resentoviricetes; Reovirales; Sedoreoviridae
Description: RNA from Bluetongue virus (PDB 1H1K, chain I)
Source: RNAcentral
AAAAAAAAAAAAAAAAAAAAAAAAAAAAAAAAAAAAAAAAAAAAAAAAAAAAAAAAAAAAAAAAAAAAAAAAAAAAAAAAAAAAAAAAAAAAAAAAAAAAAAAAAAAAAAAAAAAAAAAAAAAAAAAAAAAAAAAAAAAAAAAAAAAAAAAAAAAAAAAAAAAAAAAAAAAAAAAAAAAAAAAAAAAAAAAAAAAAAAAAAAAAAAAAAAAAAAAAAAAAAAAAAAAAAAAAAAAAAAAAAAAAAAAAAAAAAAAAAAAAAAAAAAAAAAAAAAAAAAAAAAAAAAAAAAAAAAAAAAAAAAAAAAAAAAAAAAAAAAAAAAAAAAAAAAAAAAAAAAAAAAAAAAAAAAAAAAAAAAAAAAAAAAAAAAAAAAAAAAAAAAAAAAAAAAAAAAAAAAAAAAAAAAAAAAAA